Molecule: long non-coding RNA, 2197 nt
Organism: Equus caballus (horse)
Lineage: Eukaryota; Metazoa; Chordata; Mammalia; Perissodactyla; Equidae
Source: Ensembl
AGCAAGAGCUCCAAGUUGCAAAAGGUCAAUUCGUAUAGAUUGAUUACCUCAAUCAGGGAUAUUUCAUAAUCUAUAGGAGAAUAUUAUGAAGAAUGGAUUUUUAAAAUGUAUGCACAUGGUGUGCAUGUAAAUAAGAUAGCUAUAGAAAAAACUCACAGAAAUUCUAAUAUUUAUUAUAACAUAAUCUAGUAGUUUACAUGUUUUGCUUUCUAAUUCAUGUAAGUAGUGGGAAAAAAAGGAAAUCAUUCAAAUUAGAAAAAUUAGAAUUUUAGGCCAAAUUCUAAAUAAUAUAUAAUGACUCAACCAAGCUUUCUUAGCACAAAAGCAUUGCUAAAAAGAGUACACCUAGGGUUUGUUUGUAUCAUUGUUUUUUAAUCUGUUAAUUUUUGUGUCAUUUGCAUUUGCUUGCAUGCUAAGGUAGGUGGUUGAUCACAACUUAUUUAAUAAGGAAAAUCAGCUAAUAGGACAUAAAAUAAUCACAAAAAAGAAUGAAACAUCAAAAAAAGCCAGGAAAGUGGUAUUAACAAAAAAUAAAACUGAGUUCCCCUUUGGGUUAGAAUGUAGAGGGUAAUGAAAGAUUGUUGCUCCCACUAAAACAAUAGAUAAUUACAAGAUAAGCAACCCAAAAAAAUAGAUUUCUUUAAAGCUGUUGAGAAGUGUUUGACACAAUGAUAUCUAAAGGAACUAAAUUUUAGAGUCGCAUAAGCACUUUUUAGUGACAACGGACAUUUUCAUCCCUAGGGCUCAUGGCAGAGGUUGCACACACACUAAAGCAUAGGAGGAAUCCUGCCAGAGAAGGACCGUCUUUGCUCAGAGCCUGGAAAGUUAUCACUCCUGUCCUUACCACAAGAAAGAAGGCAGAAAAACUAAAUAUCAAUGACUUUUCUUAGAUUCUUCAGAGAACUGAGGUCACAGGCAAACUGUUAAAUGGCAAUCUAGAGGAUCGCAGUCAGGAUCAGUUUACUUGAAGCAGAAGCUACUGGAGCCAAAAGCUAGUAGGAACACUUAUGUAUUCCUACUGGAUAAAUUGCUGGAGGCUGUGUGGACUGAAUUGAGAGUGGAAAAACUCCUAUUAGCCUAGGCUUAUGAAGAACUCCAUACUUUUGUGGGUUUUAGCUCCAGGUACCCCAUCAGGUACUCAGUGGAAAAAUCAGAGAAAAAUCUCUCAAGUUUCUGGUUGUGGGGGGUGGGUGGUGGUAACAUUUUUACAUACACCUGGAUCAUCAGAUUAUUCUCCAUGACAAAGGCCUACUUUCCCAGGAAAACUACAGCUCAGAGCCUUAUCUAUCUGGUGGGAAGGUCAUUUGCAGACUCCAUCUGCCUCUUGCCUUCUUGUCUUACCUGAAAUUAGAGAUAAUAAUGCUAAGAAUCAUCUCAUAAUAUUGUAGCUCAAGGUCUCAGACCCACUGAAAGACUGAUUUUUAAUCAUGAGUUUGUAGAAUGUUUACCCUCCACCACAUCUUACCACCACAGCUAUUAAAGAAGGUGCUUUUAGAGUAACCCAAAGACAAUAGGAGAAAGGAAAAAAGCAAACAAGUACAGAAAGAAGCUUAAGCCUCUGGCAGCUGUGGCCACAGCAAACAUUAAACAUAGCCCAGCCCCCAGCCAGAUUGUCAUGUUAAGAAAACCUCACACUAACGGCCUAUUUUUCUCAUUCCUUUACCCAAUUCUAUUGUCUAUUUUUUUUCCUCCUCUUACUUUCUCUGACACACAGCUGUAGUUAAUCGUAUUUGCAAUGUGGAAUAUAUGAAAAAAAUAGAAUUUUGACUGUAAUAUUCAGUUAACCCAAAAGAAGGGAGUAAAGAAAGAGCAGAAAAGCACAACUACCUGGAAAAAAGAAAACAAAUAGCAAUAUGCUAGAAACAAAUCCAAUUGCUUCAAUAAUGAUGUUAAAUAAAGAGACUACGCACAUCAAUUAAAAGGCAGAAGUGGUCAGACUGGAUGCAAACGCAACAUCUAACUAUAUGCUGUGUACAAGAUUCACAUUUGAAAGUAAAAUAAAGAUUUAUUCUGGGACUAGUAAGUGCAAGAAAGCUGGGUAGGCUAUAUUAACAUCAAAAAAAAAAAAAAAAAAAAAACCCAAAAAGGCCUCAGUGCAAAGAGCAUCACAGAGACAUAGACAUAUUUAGAAUAAAACAAAACUGUAAAACCUAGGAGACUGAAUAUCAAUAAGCUCAAAUAAAAUAAAAUAGCCAAA